UAAAUGGCAUCACUGGUGGUUCUUUUUUCCUCUCCGCUAAACUGUCAUCUCAAACAAAAACAAAUGGAUCAUACAACUGCUAUGAAUACAUUCGACUCGUUUGCUUUCAUCAAUCGGUAAGUGAGAAAGAUGAUUUCUCCCAUCACCACAGUGCGGAUUUCCACUUCUAUCACAGCAGCCAACAACAUCCGUUUUCCUGCAGCAGUAACCCCCAACCCCUGUUGGCAAUGCCGGGGGACAGCAUUGACAGCAGCAGCAGCAGAAUUUGACCAUGGUAUGGUAUUGCGAAGAACUUUCCCCAUUAGAGGUUCCGUGCUUCGCGCACAUUCAAAAAUCCUCUUCAGACACGAAAACUCAACGACGAGGAGGUAUUUAUCAACUUGCUCAGCUGAAUUACCACCCGGAGGAACCCGAGUGCACUGAUUCCGUUGUAUAGUAGAAUGAAAAUAGGCGAGGUAAGCGAACGUAAUCGCAUGAUAUUUUAAUGUUCGCAUUUUUAUCCGGAUCAUACAACUGCUAUGAAUACAUCCGACUCAAUCAAUCGGCGAGUGAGAAAGAUGAUUUCCCUCAUCACCACAUUGCUUAUUUCCACUUCUGUCACGCCAGCCAACAGCAUCAGCUUUCCCGCAGCAGUAUCCUUUAAGUCCAGGGUGCUAUUCCGGGGAACAGCAUCAACAGUAACAGCAGCAGGACCUGGCCAUCGAUAGUAUUCCGAGCAAUUUUCCCCAUCGGAGAUCCCGUGCUUCACGCACAUUGAAGAAUCCUCCUCAGCCACAUAUCUGUGUCAUCAAGGGCAAGGAGGUAUUCAUCAAUGUACUCAGUCGGAUUUGAAUCGUCAAUCCAGACAACCCGGAUGCACUGAUUCCAUUAUAUACCUUAUUUUUAUUAUACAUGGAUUUUUAUUAUUUUUUUUCAAUAAAAUAAUUAAAAUCGAUCAAUGUAUUUCCUUUUCAUUUUCAAUAACAAACCAAUACAAACAAGCAGCAAGCAGUGCUGAAAGCAGCGCUGUAAGCAGGUCGACGCCUUGCACAUGUUGGCGAAAAAGUGGUGUCAAGUUGUUCGAUGAAUGCAUAUGAAAGGUCGAUAACUCGAUUGCAAGGUGGCAGCAUUUGAGGUCGAUUGUUGACAUUUCAUCGACCCGAUCUUGGCAGGCAAAACGGAAUGUGGGUUUCCACUGGACAGAAGAGAUACUUCAGUUGGUGCCAAAUGUGUCGAAGAAAUACACAAAAGGGGAAAUGGACAGAUUGA
Toxorhynchites rutilus septentrionalis is the source of this 1248-nucleotide long non-coding RNA. RefSeq lists it as uncharacterized. Lineage: Eukaryota; Metazoa; Arthropoda; Insecta; Diptera; Culicidae. The record is from RefSeq and is a predicted model, not a curated record. The transcript has 3 exons.